UAUAUAUAGGGGGGUGGUGAGAGCUGGAAGCCAAGAUGCAUGGAUAUGAGGUAGCCUUUGAUCAUGAAUGUCGCUAUAGUCUGAAUGACGCUGAUGUCCCCAGUUCGACGCCCAAUGAGUCGUUUUCUUCGUUAUGGCUUUUGCCAUUUCGUGUACGGCGACAACGUCAUUGACGCUUUCUUGGNUAUCCUUGUCCGAAGCGUGGCUCGUUGUCCACGGUGGUGGUGGGACUUGCUUUGCCUACGACAUAGUGAUCAUUUGUGUGGAAAUGACGGCGACCCUUUACGAUGAAACCUGUGGCGUUGUGGGCCUCGCAACGCCAUUGCUACGUGCUUGCCGGACGAUCCUAGAACGAAGCGAUUCAUGUCACACCAGCGCGGUUGGUGUCUUGUUUUGAGUAGUUUUUUANGUGACGGUGAGCAUGAUGAGGCACGUANGAAUUGUUGUCCAGGUCGAAGCCUUUGCCUCCCUGGGUAAACUAAAACAACGUCAAGGAUGGGUGUUGCUUGUCGAUCCGAUUUUGAUGCAUGGCAUGUUUCCCAUGGCGGUUUUGGGGCUUGUCAUUCCAUGGAUCCGAGCAUGCCGAAACUGACGGGGACUCAUUUCGAUGAAAAUUGUGGCGUUGUGGACCUUGCAUUGCCAUUGCUACGUGCUUCUUCGGUGAUCCUUGAACGAAGCGUUACGUGUCACGCAAGCAUUGCUAGUGACUUGUUUUGCCAAGGUCAUGGUGACCCGGGUAGCAUGAUGAGCCAUGUCGGUAUCGUUUGUUGUUAUUUUAUUCGCAUCGUUCGGUGCAUCUUGGGAGCUGUUCGGACUUUUGGUUGCUUGCUUGGCUCGAAUGCCUAGUAGGUGGCGGAUUGUUUGGCGGUUUUCGGGGAUGACUUCCGUAAGGGUGCAUGAGUGGUUUUUGGUUUGUUACCGGUGGUUGGCUCUCUGCUUUUGCAACAACUCCCACCUGGCAUUCCUCUUCAUGUUUGCGUCAAGGUUUAUAUUCUUUGAGCGCUUAUGGUUUCCUGUGUUGCCUACCUACGUGACGGUAUCGCUUGAUUACAUCGAAGUAGUGUUUCAUCAUGUGUCAUUUAUAUGGCGUAGGAUGAACUUCGAAGCAGCUUCUAUGAUCCACCUUGUUGAUGCAAAUGUAUCAAUGUUGUGGCUCAUUGAGUUUCGCUUGGUUUUCUGGAUACAGAACAUAAUAUGGGUGUGGGUCUUGAGAUCCUUGUUUUGCCCUUUCUGAANGUUGUUAUUACUCAGAGAUGACCACCUAUCCCGAAUUUGGCUUGUACCACCGGGGUAGGUUAAGCUGUUGAAGAGCAAUAAUGGCGUUCUUGCUUCUCUAAAACAGACGGCCUUGCCUGUGUUGGCUCGUACCAACGGGUGGGCUUAUGUCGAAGAGGG
Molecule: unclassified non-coding RNA, 1395 nt
Filed under: Asteriscus intermedius
Lineage: Eukaryota; Viridiplantae; Streptophyta; Magnoliopsida; Asterales; Asteraceae
Description: partial external transcribed spacer
Source: RNAcentral